UACAGAGGGUGCGAGCGUUAAUCGGAAUUACUGGGCGAAAAGCGCACGUAGGUGGCGACGUAAGUCGGGUGUGAAAGCCCCGGGCUCAACCUGGGAAUUGCAUUCGAGACUGCAUUGCUGGAGUACGGAAGAGGAGGGCGGAAUUCCCGGUGUAGCGGUGAAAUGCGUAGAUAUCGGUAGGAACAUCAGUGGCGAAGGCGGUCAUCUGGUCCAGUACUGACACUCUAGUGCGAAAGCGUGGGGAGUAAACAGG
Molecule: ribosomal RNA, 253 nt
Filed under: uncultured bacterium
Lineage: Bacteria
Description: partial 16S ribosomal RNA
Rfam family: Bacterial small subunit ribosomal RNA
Source: RNAcentral